CCUACGGGAGGCAGCAGUGAGGAAUAUUGGUCAAUGGACGAGAGUCUGAACCAGCCAAGUAGCGUGAAGGAUGACUGCCCUAUGGGUUGUAAACUUCUUUUAUAUGGGAAUAAAAUGUUCCACGUGUGGGAUAUUGUAUGUACCAUAGGAAUAAGGAUCGGCUAACUCCGUGCCAGAAGCCGCGGUAAUACGGAGGAGCCGAGCGUUAUCCGGAUUUAUUGGGUUUAAAGGUGGCGUAGGUGGAUUGUUAAGUCAGUUGUGAAAGUUUGCGGCUCAACCGUAAAAUUGCAGUUGAAACUGGCAGUCUUGAGUACAGUAGAGGUGGGCGGAAUUCGUGGUGUAGCGGUGAAAUGCUUAGAUAUCACGAAGAACUCCGAUUGCGAAGGCAGCUCACUGGACUGCAACUGACACUGAGGCUCGAAAGUGUGGGUAUCAAACAGGAUUAGAUACCCGAGUAGUC
RNAcentral lists this ribosomal RNA (460 nucleotides) under uncultured bacterium. RNAcentral describes it as "partial 16S ribosomal RNA". It matches the Rfam family "Bacterial small subunit ribosomal RNA", at positions 338 to 795 of the family's 1533-position model. The record is from RNAcentral.